CCGACCAUCCCUCUGGUCUUUUGCCUCUUCUCUCCCAUUUUCGCUGGAACAGAAACUGAUUCUGGGAUCUUGAAAGCGAGACAAUCAUUCCCUGCCUUCUCAGUGCUGAAGCCAGCUUGAUGGUGGAUGCGUCCCGUAUGAAUGAAGUGCAGUCUUUGAAGAGGGAUUGUGAGUUAUGCACAUUGCAGCAGUAGGUGGUCUAUCGAUUGAUGCACAUGUUGCACAUAAGGGGCAGCUGCUUCUGACAUUUAUCCCUCUCCUGAUUAAAAUGUCAGUCGUGAGAACCCUAUUAUUAUAGCAUAUAGCCAACUGAAGAUUUUGACCUUCUCUGGAAUCGGUGAUUUCCAAAUGAUGCUUCCGAGCAAGGAUUUGAUUCCACCAUGCUUGAGGAAGUUGUAAUAUUGUUCAACUCGGUAAGUCCUUUGUAUUAAUCCACUUCCAUAAUUGUUUGUCAUUCUCAUUUGAUGAUUGAACUUGUCUCCGAAUGAAAUCCAGCAGUUGCUUCAUAUGUCGAGGGAGUUUGGAAGUUUAGCAUCCAGUUUCUCGAUUCCACGAAGUUGGCUAUGUUAAUGUCUUGGUUCUUUGCAAAAAGGAGUAGAUUACCGGUCCUGUGUUGAGAGAUUGCUUCUCAUAUCAAGGAUCUUUCCGACAGGAAGUAAGUUCGCCAUUAUAUACCUCUGGUUUUGUGAACAUUCGGAAUAGUUCAGACGGCUGAAGUUUGCUUUUGCAAAAUGAGGAGGCAAUCAUUGUGAGGUAGUUCGGAGGUUGUAGAGGAGCUCUGUUGCCGCAAUAUAUUUGUUGAAUCGAUCUCCACCAUGGCCUGUUUGGCUCAACGAAACAUUUUUCGACCACCAUUUUAGAAGGCAAACUUUGGUUCUCGAAACUUUGAGAUCCAUGUUACGCUCUUGCUCGGUUCAAGAGGAGUGAUGCAGAAGAAUAUCUAGAUAUAUUGUAUGGAAAAUUUGGAAGUUUGCAGAAGAUCAAUGUGUCGUCAGCAUAUUUUGUAGGUACUGUAUGUUUCUUGUUAUUUGAAAAGGUCUUACUCCUGAGAUCAGUCCUUCAGAGGAGGCGAGUUUGAAUGUCCGCCACAAGAAUAAAUAAACGAGGACAUAGAGAGUUACUCUGCUUGAGCUCACACCCCA
RNAcentral lists this long non-coding RNA (1142 nucleotides) under Elaeis guineensis (African oil palm). RNAcentral describes it as "long non-coding RNA (EGUI_LNC017121)". Lineage: Eukaryota; Viridiplantae; Streptophyta; Magnoliopsida; Arecales; Arecaceae. The record is from RNAcentral.